UUCCUAGGGAGGCGCAGGUGCGAAACUUUAUAGCGCUUUAUGUCCAUAGGGGGACUCCGAGUGGUCGUUCCAUACAGGGGGCGACCUUUUUCCAAGUGUAAGGAGCUUGGCGAAUAAGGGGUGUGCAAGACGGCUGCCAGCCGCCGCGGUAAUAGCCGCACCUCAAGUGGUGGCCACCGUUAUUGGGCUUCAAGUGUCCGUGCCGGCCCGGUAAGUUCUCUGUGAAAUCCGGCCGCUCAACGGUCGGGCGCGCAGGGAAUACUGCCGGGCUUGGGGCCUGACGGCGCUGGGGCUAUUCCCGGAGUAGGAGUGAAAUCCUCAAAUUCCGGGAGGAGCACCUGUGGCGAAAGCGUCCAGCGAGGACGGACCCGACGGUCAGGGACGAAAGCCAGGUGAGCAAAGCGGAUUAGAUACCCGCGUAGUCCUGGCUGUAAACAUUGUCCGCUUGAUGUCGGGAAUCUCCCGAGGAUUCCCGGUGCCGAACUAUCGACGUUAAGCGGACCCGCCUGGUGAGUACGGUCGCAAGGUUGAAACUCAAAGGAAUUGACGG
This 550-nucleotide ribosomal RNA is filed under the name uncultured Halobacteriales archaeon. RNAcentral's name for it is "bacterial SSU rRNA". It matches the Rfam family "Archaeal small subunit ribosomal RNA", at positions 319 to 871 of the family's 1478-position model. Lineage: Archaea; Methanobacteriati; Methanobacteriota; Halobacteria; Halobacteriales. The record is from RNAcentral.